This 494-nucleotide ribosomal RNA is filed under the name uncultured Bacillus sp. RNAcentral describes it as "partial 16S ribosomal RNA". Lineage: Bacteria; Bacillati; Bacillota; Bacilli; Caryophanales; Bacillaceae. The record is from RNAcentral.
CACGUAGUUAGCCGUGGCUUUCUGGUUAGGUACCGUCAAGGUACCGGCAGUUACUCCGGUACUUGUUCUUCCCUAACAACAGAGUUUUACGAUCCGAAAACCUUCAUCACUCACGCGGCGUUGCUCCGUCAGACUUUCGUCCAUUGCGGAAGAUUCCCUACUGCUGCCUCCCGUAGGAGUCUGGGCCGUGUCUCAGUCCCAGUGUGGCCGAUCACCCUCUCAGGUCGGCUACGCAUCGUUGCCUUGGUGAGCCGUUACCUCACCAACUAGCUAAUGCGCCGCGGGCCCAUCUAUAAGUGAUAGCGAGAAGCCAUCUUUCAGCUUCCAGACAUGUGUCCAAAAGCAUUAUCCGGUAUUAGCUCCGGUUUCUCGAAGUUAUCCCAGUCUCAUAGGCAGGUUGCCCACGUGUUACUCACCCGUCCGCCGCUAAUCUUUGGGAGCAAGCUCCCUCAGAUCCGCUCGACUUGCAUGUAUUAGGCACGCCGCCAGCGUGU